UCCUUGCAAAGGAACAACUUAAAAGCAAAUGGGAUGAUGAAGAUAUUGAUGACUCUGAUAUCAAGGAAUUAUGAGAGGAUGAAGAUGAACUUGCUCCGCCUUCGGCUUGUGGAAUAAGUCAAUUCAUGUUUCUGAUGCGGGGUUUUAGCAUGAUGUAGAGACUAAUAGGAUUGAAGGCCAUGGGGGGUACGGAAAGUGAUUUAGAUUGAAGAUACAUCAAUGGUAGCAAUAGGACCCUUUUUCUUUUUUGAUAUUUUUGGGGGGAAUA
Molecule: long non-coding RNA, 268 nt
Organism: Gossypium arboreum
Lineage: Eukaryota; Viridiplantae; Streptophyta; Magnoliopsida; Malvales; Malvaceae
Exons: 2
Source: RefSeq, a predicted model, not a curated record